RNAcentral lists this ribosomal RNA (492 nucleotides) under uncultured bacterium. RNAcentral describes it as "partial 16S ribosomal RNA". It matches the Rfam family "Bacterial small subunit ribosomal RNA", at positions 29 to 507 of the family's 1533-position model. The record is from RNAcentral.
AGUGAACGCUGGCGGUAGGCCUAACACAUGCAAGUCGAACGGCAGCACAGUAAGAGCUUGCUCUUACGGGUGGCGAGUGGCGGACGGGUGGGGAAUACAUCGGAAUCUACUUUUUCGUGGGGGAUAACGUAGGGAAACUUACGCUAAUACCGCAUACGACCUACGGGUGAAAGCAGGGGAUCUUCGGACCUUGCGCGAUUGAAUGAGCCGAUGUCGGAUUAGCUAGUUGGCGGGGUAAAGGCCCACCAAGGCGACGAUCCGUAGCUGGUCUGAGAGGAUGAUCAGCCACACUGGAACUGAGACACGGUCCAGACUCCUACGGGAGGCAGCAGUGGGGAAUAUUGUACAAUGGGCGCAAGCCUGAUCCAGCCAUACCGCGUGGGUGAAGAAGGCCUUCGGGUUGUAAAGCCCUUUUGUUGGGAAAGAAAAGCAGCAGGUUAAUACCCCGCUGUUCUGACGGUACCCAAAGAAUAAGCACCGGCUAACUUCGUG